This 3356-nucleotide long non-coding RNA is filed under the name Capsicum annuum. RNAcentral describes it as "long non-coding RNA (CANN_LNC012057)". The record is from RNAcentral. Lineage: Eukaryota; Viridiplantae; Streptophyta; Magnoliopsida; Solanales; Solanaceae.
AUACUUUCCCCAAAAUUACUCAAGAAAUCUCCUUAGGAUUUCAAAAUAAAAACCCAAAUAGUUCAAGAUUCGACCGUAGGUUUUCGAAGAUAAUUACAUAUUUGGAAUCACCAAUCCGCAAGCUUCAAGAAACAUCUAGUAUCUUCGGAAAUAGAGGUACGUGGAUUUAUCCAAAAAUCUCAUAUCUUGAAAGUAAGAAGUUGUAUUGCCAAAGGUCUGGUAAUUCUAUCCUAAUUUAGGAGUUACAUGUCUAUAUUCCAGACUACAGAGUGGUGUCAUUGUGAUGAUUCCUUAGUGGGUGUCUUGUGUAAUCCAUACCCAAGAUUCAUGGUUCCCUAUUACUGCUAGAGCUCCCUUAGAGAGUGUGUUGAAGAGAGUAUUCCAGUUAAGUAUGAGGGUGUAGUAUAAUUCAGUUUGUAUGGCCAAUAAGUCAGUUUGGCAGUCAGAUUCGCAUGACUUGUUUUCUCAUCUUUGCACUUAUUCAUGCUACUCGAAAUCUCAGACAUACUACUAGUCCAAGAUAGAGUAUACCAGUAGUUAUGAGUAUAGCCCAGUUCAUGCAUCAUGCAUUAAAUUCAGAUUCCAAAUGUUCAGUUAUGAUUCAAUUCGUAGGUGCCCUGUGCAUCGGCUCAGUUUUCUGAGUAUCUUAGUGAAUUGAGCAUUUAUAGAGGGACAUAGGGUCCCAAGGGGGAGAUACCUCAUUCAGCUGCAUGUAUAGAUUCUUAUUACAAGCUCCGCACUAGUUAUCAUUGAGUAAUCAGUCAUACAUUCAUACGUUAGUCCAGUCAAAUAUGCGUGCAUUAGAAAUGCAUGUUCAAUAGAAAAAGUUCAUCUUAUCAGUGUAUUUAGUCCUGCAUUCAUGAGAACAACCCAGUCACAGAUCCAUGCAUCAGGUAUGCAUGUUCAUUAUGAGAAUUCAGCUUAUGAAUAGCUUCAGUUGUGUAUUCCAUGCAUCAGAUAUGCGUAUACGAUAUAAGAAUUCAGAUUAUCAGUAGUUCUAGCCAUAUGGUCAUGUUUCAGAUCAGUGUAUUUUUUAUUAGAGGACAUGUCGUGUCUGCGUUAUUCCAUAUAUUUAAGGCUUUAACAAGUUCCUACCCAUCAUUCGAGGACGAAUGAUUCCAAGGGGGAGAUAAUGUAACACCCCGUAAAAGUCGUGCAUGGAAUAACCUUUAAUAGAGUGCCUUUAGACUUAAAAACUUGAAAAUUUUUCUAAGUGUAAUGAGGACUUAGAGUCAUUUUAGCUGGCAAUCUUCGGGAUACAACUUUUCAACCUUCCCGACAUCCGUUUUUAGAUUUUCAAGUUGCGUUAUGAUCGGGCAAGAUCAUAGUACAUCUCGGAUAUGUUUCAAAAUUUUUCGGAAUGCAUAAGGCUGAGUUUAGAUUUCAAAACAGUAGCAAAACGCAUAGCCUAUUGCCCAGUUUUCAGCAUUUCAGGGUCAACUUCAAACGAUCAUAAAUCCCUGUAUAUAAUGAAAUGUGUGAGCUCAUGUCGUGUCUGCGUUAUUCCAUAUAUUUAAGGCUUUAACAAGUUCCUACCCAUCAUUCGAGGACGAAUGAUUCCAAGGGGGAGAUAAUGUAACACCCCGUAAAAGUCGUGCAUGGAAUAACCUUUAAUAGAGUGCCUUUAGACUUAAAAACUUGAAAAUUUUUCUAAGUGUAAUGAGGACUUAGAGUCAUUUUAGCUGGCAAUCUUCGGGAUACAACUUUUCAACCUUCCCGACAUCCGUUUUUAGAUUUUCAAGUUGCGUUAUGAUCGGGCAAGAUCAUAGUACAUCUCAGAUAAGCUUUGGAAUUUUUCGGAAUGCAUAAGGCUGCGUUUGGAUUUCAAAACAGUAGCAAAACGUAUAGCCUAUUGCCCAGUUUUCAGCAUUUCAGGGUCAACUUUAAACGAUCAAUCCCAGUAUAUAAUGAAAUGUGUGAGCUAUAAUAUAUCAAACGAAAUCUCUUUGAGUUAUCUUUCAAAUGCAGUUGGUUUCAUCCAAUUUGAGUAUAUGAGUAAAAAGUUAUAAUCGAUUUACUCCACCCUAUCAAACUGUCAACUGAGGGAUAUAUUUGACCUUAAUUGUUCCUUAGGGGUAUUUUGGUCAUCCUCCACCCCUAUAUAUACCACCAACACGGGAUUUAAUCCCUCAAACACCAUAAUACACAUACUUUCCCCAAAAUUGCUCAAGAACUCGCCUUAGGGUUUCAAAAUAAACACCCAAAUAGUUCAAGAUUCGACCGUAGGUUUUCGAAGAUAAUUACAUAUUUGCUUGCAAGUCGGGUAUGACGAUACCUUUCAAAAUACGAUAUACGACUGAAUAAGAUGAAAUUUGAAUACAUUGAUUUUACAUGAGAAAUGUGGAUGCCCGAAGAAGGUGUUUGAGACACAAGUGGCUCAUCGCUGGAAGAAUGUGUUUGGCGACACGGAAUAUUGGUACCAGGCUAAGUGAUCUGUGUAAUUGAUUUCAUGUCAUUCUCAAAUUGGGACUAUAGGUAGGAGCCCGAGCCAGGUGAUCUUGGGCAGUACCAUUGGGUCGAGACACCAUGCUGUGUGGUCUUGAGUGUCUCUCCCUCACUUGUACUCUACUCUCAACGGCAACCGAGGUUUGACAAAACAGUUGGUGUAAAUUAUGUAGGGUAUUCCACCUAGCUCAGUUGCAUUUCAUUAUUGUUGAGAAAAGACUAUUGCAUUACGCCCAUGUGUUUUUAAAUGAUUUGAUACGAAAUUUCUUUAUAAUGACUCUCAACUAUAUUUGGUAAAAAUAUUAUGUUUUGCUUUGAUAUCUCUGCGUGCCAGUACUUUUGUGCUGACCCCCUCCCCUCUCCAAUCUCUCAGGUUCAGAGGCCCAGUCUAGGGGUCAAGAGAAUCAGUAGAACUUUCAGACAGAGCUGUAGAGACAAGUGGUGAGCCUUCUAUGUUUCGGAAGGUCUUAUGUCCUGCAGUCCUUUUAUCUUAUAUUCAGUUUUUGGGUCUACUGGGGGCCUUGUUCCAGUUUUCAAAUAGACAUUGUUUCAGUCAUUUGUUAGCGAUUUUCGUAGACAGUUAUUAGAGGAUAAUUGAUGUUGAGGGAACCUUAUCUCGCCGUUAUUGUCUCUUUUCAUAUUUAUGACCAUGUUUCUGAAUUAUUGUGUUUUUUCGCAUUUCUUUGAUCAUAUGAAUUAGGUGCAUGAUUACCAGACAGAUAGGGGUGUUUCGGGCCUUAAUGAUUUGAAAUGCUCGUCACGGCCAGGCCCUGGUUCGGGUCGUGACAUAUGACCCUAAACUUGACACCAAAUUAUAACAUUGAUUUAAACAUUGAUAGUGCACAAAUAUGAUCUUUAACUAUAAAAAACAUGAACAAAUAAAUACUCAUAUUUUGCAACUUAGGUGGAUG